RNAcentral lists this ribosomal RNA (484 nucleotides) under uncultured bacterium. RNAcentral describes it as "partial 16S ribosomal RNA". It matches the Rfam family "Bacterial small subunit ribosomal RNA", at positions 30 to 507 of the family's 1533-position model. The record is from RNAcentral.
AUUGAACGCUGGCGGCAGGCCUAACACAUGCAAGUCGAGCGGAUGAAGGGGGCUUGCUCCUGGAUUCAGCGGCGGACGGGUGAGUAAUGCCUAGGAAUCUGCCUGGUAGUGGGGGAUAACGUCCGGAAACGGGCGCUAAUACCGCAUACGUCCUGAGGGAGAAAGUGGGGGAUCUUCGGACCUCACGCUAUCAGAUGAGCCUAGGUCGGAUUAGCUAGUUGGUGGGGUAAAGGCCUACCAAGGCGACGAUCCGUAACUGGUCUGAGAGGAUGAUCAGUCACACGGGAACUGAGACACGGUCCAGACUCCUACGGGAGGCAGCAGUGGGGAAUAUUGGACAAUGGGCGAAAGCCUGAUCCAGCCAUGCCGCGUGUGUGAAGAAGGUCUUCGGAUUGUAAAGCACUUUAAGUUGGGAGGAAGGGCAGUAAGUUAAUACCUUGCUGUUUUGACGUUACCAACAGAAUAAGCACCGGCUAACUUCGUG